UGUUUUGUGAGUGAAAGGUGAAAAGAAUUCCGAAAUGUAGGUUAAAUAGAAUUGAAUGGUGUAUGAUUAUAAGUUUAAGUAGUUGUAUAAGUGGUUGUUGAAGAAAGAAUUGUUGAGUUUCAAGU
RNAcentral lists this ribosomal RNA (125 nucleotides) under Gambierdiscus australes. RNAcentral's name for it is "partial Bacterial large subunit ribosomal RNA". The record is from RNAcentral. Lineage: Eukaryota; Dinophyceae; Gonyaulacales; Pyrocystaceae.